UAAGCCAUGCAUGUCUAAGUAUAAAUCUUUUACUUUGAAACUGCGAACGGSUCAUUAUAUCAUUUAUAGUUUAUUUGAUAGUCCCUUACUAUUUGGAUAACCGUAGUAAUUCUAGAGCUAAUACAUGCGUCAAUACCCUUCUGGGGUAGUAUUUAUUAGAUUGAAACCAACCCCUUCGGGGUGAUGUGGUGAAUCAUAAUAAGCUUGCGGAUCGCAUGGCUUCGGCCGGCGACGGAUCAUUCAAGUUUCUGCCCUAUCABCUUUGGAUGGUAGGGUAUUGGCCUACCAUGGCUUUAACGGGAAACGGGAAAUUAKGGUUUGAUUCCGGAGAGGGGGCCUGAGAGAUGGCCACCACAUCCAAGGAAGGCAGCAGGCGCGUAAAUUACCCAAUCCUGACACAGGGAGGUAGUGACAAUAAAUAACAAUGCCGGGCCUUUAUAGGUCUGGCAAUUGGAAUGARAACAAUUUAAAUCCCUUAUCGAGGAUCAAUUGGAGGGCAAGUCUGGU
Molecule: ribosomal RNA, 507 nt
Filed under: uncultured diatom
Lineage: Eukaryota; Bacillariophyta
Description: SSU rRNA
Rfam family: Eukaryotic small subunit ribosomal RNA
Source: RNAcentral